Molecule: ribosomal RNA, 238 nt
Filed under: Glomeromycotina sp.
Lineage: Eukaryota; Fungi; Glomeromycota
Description: partial small subunit ribosomal RNA
Rfam family: Eukaryotic small subunit ribosomal RNA (bases 40-238)
Source: RNAcentral
GGGUCAGUAGGUUGGUCGUGCCACCGGUACGUACUGGUCUCACUGAUUCCUCCUUCCUGAAGAACCGUAAUGCCAUUAAUUUGGUGUUGCGGGGAAACAGGACUGUUACUUUGAAAAAAUUAGAGUGUUUAAAGCAAGCUAACGCUUGAAUACAUUAGCAUGGAAUAAUGAAAUAGGACGAUCGAUCCUAUUUUGUUGGUUUCUAGGAUUGACGUAAUAAUUAAUAGGGAUAAUUGGG